CCUACGGGUGGCAGCAGUGGGGAAUAUUGCACAAUGGGCGCAAGCCUGAUGCAGCCAUGCCGCGUGUGUGAAGAAGGCCUUCGGGUUGUAAAGCACUUUCAGCGGGGAGGAAGGCGUUAAGGUUAAUAACCUUGGCGAUUGACGUUACCCGCUGAAGAAGCACCGGCUAACUCCGUGCCAGCAGCCGCGGUAAUACGGAGGGUGCAAGCGUUAAUCGGAAUUACUGGGCGUAAGGCGCACGCAGGCGGUCUGUCAAGUCGGAUGUGAAAUCCCCGGGCUCAACCUGGGAACUGCAUUCGAAACUGGCAGGCUAGAGUCUUGUAGAGGGGGGUAGAAUUCCAGGUGUAGCGGUGAAAUGCGUAGAGAUCUGGAGGGAUACCGGUGGCGAAGGCGGCCCCCUGGACAAAGACUGACGCUCAGGUGCGAAAGCGUGGGGAGCAAACAGGAUUAAUACCCCGGUAGUC
This 464-nucleotide ribosomal RNA is filed under the name uncultured Klebsiella sp. RNAcentral's name for it is "bacterial SSU rRNA". It matches the Rfam family "Bacterial small subunit ribosomal RNA", at positions 338 to 795 of the family's 1533-position model. Lineage: Bacteria; Pseudomonadati; Pseudomonadota; Gammaproteobacteria; Enterobacterales; Enterobacteriaceae. The record is from RNAcentral.